This is a long non-coding RNA of Triticum aestivum (bread wheat), 1164 nucleotides long. RefSeq lists it as uncharacterized. Lineage: Eukaryota; Viridiplantae; Streptophyta; Magnoliopsida; Poales; Poaceae. The transcript has 2 exons. The record is from RefSeq and is a predicted model, not a curated record.
UUGAUACUCCUCACCUCGUACUAUACAUAAUAAGCAUAUGAUUAAGAUAUGUUUUUUGACUAGACCAAAAACUUGUAAAAUCUGGUUUGUGUAGCUCUCUAUAUGCUCAAAAUUGAUUACCUGAAAUAAAAACUCAAGAAACCUUAUUCAAAUCUGCAUUACUGAAUCAUGUUUUCUGAAGUACUGCCUCCUUUCACAAAUAUAAGAUGUUCAGACUUUUUUCUGAAUCGGAUGUAUGUAGACAUGUUUUAGCAUGGUUGUUCACUAAUUUCAGUCCGUGUGUAGUCCAUAUUGAAAUAUCUAAAACACCUUAUAUUUGUGAGCGUAGAGAGUAAUAACUUGUGUUGUUUUUAAAUUCCCUGCAAUUUGUUAAGAUUUUCAGAAAGGACUUGAGAUGGAACCCUAUGUUUAGCAAGCUAAAAACUGUGUUGUUCAAUGAUUGGUGUCUGACUGCAAACUUUGCUGGACUACUUUACUUUCUUCAGCACACACCAAUUCUUGAAAAGCUUGCCCUUCAACUUCCAUCUCACGAGGUAUAUGUUUUUUCAUAUAUGAUAGCUUUUGUCGCUGAACCUAACAUUUAUAGCUGAUUCAUUUGAGUAAAAUCAUAUGUUUUCAACAGUAUUUGGACAUCAUAUCAAGUGGAAGCUACAACCCAGCAGAAUAUUUCUUGGUGUCGAAGCAUCUGAAGGUAGUUGAAAUCUAUUGUAGGAAGGAGUCUGAAUGGAUUAAUCAAAUUGUGAACAUCCUUGGUAUUCAUGGAGUAACUUCUGCGCAAAUUAGCAUCAAACAUGAUUUUUGAUGUUCUUUCAGGUUCAGUUUCGAGCAGCCGAAGUAGAUCAGAUGGUCUACUAUUCCUGGUUAUUCAGGCUUUGGUGUCCCUGAAUCAAUGUUGGCAGCAUAGGCUUUCUACGUUUUGUCUACCUGGAUCGUGCGCAUGUCCUGUUCCAUCCAUAUGCAGGAAGAACUCCCGUCGAGACGCAGUUUGAGUAGGUUCAAAUGUCGAUGCAGUAAUGUUGCACCUUUGGCCGGUGUCAGGCCUCGACUGAUUUACCUAUUGAAGGCCUAUGAUCUAUUAUAUGUUUAUAAGCAACUUGUAUGUCUAGCUUAACUUGUGUAAAAUGGUACCUGCACUGUUAUAUGGAGUAAACAUUCAUGACGCCA